AACGCACAUUGCACUCCUUGGUAUUCCGAGGAGUAUGCCUGUUUCAGUAUCAUGAGCACUCUCACACCUAACCUUUGGGUUUAUGGCGUGGAAUUGGAAUGCGCCGACUGUCAUGGUUGGCCCUUCUAAAAUGUAGUUCUUGGCUGUCACCUAAUACAGCAGUUUGGCCUAAUAGUUUUGGCAUUCAUUGUCAAAUCUUUGGCUAACAUUUGCUCCAGGAGUCAGUCUUGAUAAUACAGAAAACUCAUUCAAAUUUUGACCUGAAAUCAGGUAGGGCUACCCGCUGAACUUAA
RNAcentral lists this unclassified non-coding RNA (293 nucleotides) under uncultured Umbelopsis. RNAcentral's name for it is "sequence contains ITS2". Lineage: Eukaryota; Fungi; Mucoromycota; Umbelopsidomycetes; Umbelopsidales; Umbelopsidaceae. The record is from RNAcentral.